This 3733-nucleotide long non-coding RNA is filed under the name Bos grunniens (domestic yak). RNAcentral's name for it is "lncRNA (ENSBGRG00000004254.1)". Lineage: Eukaryota; Metazoa; Chordata; Mammalia; Artiodactyla; Bovidae. The record is from RNAcentral.
GGGGUCGCAAAGAGUCAGACACGACUCAGCAUCUGAGCACACAUGCAAAGUCACCUGCAUUGAAAAAACAAAACAUUUAUUUUGGGAGAGUUUAUUUCUUUGUGUUAAGAAGAAACCUUCCAGUUUGUUGUUCUGUCGAAGGCCUCUGGCAGAAGCAGGCCCAGCAAGUAAUUGUCUCUUCUCUUUCCUCCCUUGGACACUGUGUUUCCCCUCAGAGAAUGGCCCAGUUAGGCCCCAGAAACAGGAAACUGAAAGUUUUAGUUGCUUCAGUUGUGUCUGACUCUUUGUGACCCCAUGGACUAUAGCCUGCCAGGCUCCUCUGUCCAUGGGAUUCUCCAGUCAAGAAUACUGGAGUGGGUUGCCAUUCCCUUCUCCAAUGGAUCUUCCCCACCUAGGGAUGGAACCCAGGUCUCCUGCAUUGCAGGCAGAUUCUUUACCGUCUGAGCCACCAGGGAAGCCCAGAGCUUCCUGCCAAAUGCUGCCUCUGGAAUUUGACAGCAGAAAAUGUAUUAGUAUAAAGAGCUUCCGGUUUUUCCUGUCUUCUUUAGUCAACACUACUCAUCUAUUGCUGAAACUGCUCACCUUCAACAACAAAAUGAACUUCAUAGCAAGAUCUUAUCCCCAAAAUGGCUUAUUCCUAGGAAUAAGGCUUGUUGAGUAAGUAACUAGUACUAGUCCACUAAGAACCUUCCAAUAUUUUUCUCUGUUAAAGUGUUAGUUACUUAGUUGUGUCCAACUCUUUGCGACCCUGUGGACUGUAGCCUACCAGGCUCCUCUGUCCAUGGAAUUUUCUUGAUAUUCCCUUCUUCAGGGGAUCUUCCCAACCCAGGGAUCAAACCUGAGUCUCCCGCAUUGCAGGCAGAUUCUUUACCAUGUGAGCCACCAGGCCAUAGCCAUUAAUUUUUAACAAAUUGGGCAAUGCAGUAAAUAUGGUUUUUUGUGUCCAAAGUGUCAUCAGAGAAAAAUGCCUUCCCCAUUCCACAGCAAUACUGAUCAUUCCAUGAAGAGAUGUAGUAGGGUGUCUACCUCUCCCCCGCCACCAGCCCUACAGGCGAGCACGUUACAUCAACUAGCCAAGCAGACCUUUGCCAAAACUACAGAAAAGAUUUUCUUUUCUGAGGCAGGUGCGAGCUGAAGGGAUGCUGUGGCUUGAGGCUACUAAUUCCCAUACUAUUAGCAAACGUAGAAUUAAAACUGGAAAUGAUACCAGCAAGGCUGAGAGGUGGACAGAGUAAGCACUCCUCUUUUAACCUCCAGAGUAAACUACAUUUUCUUGAGCCUUCCAGAUUCAAGCCAAAAUAAUCUCCUGGUUCAUAAAUUUAGGUAUCUGUCUUUUACCACUUAAAAAGUACUAAUGCAAAACUCUUCCUAAAAUAUUCUAUUUCUCUGGACGCAAACUGAGACUGGUGAAUGCAGUCUAUUACCUGUGUGUGAUAGAUUUAGCACAUAUUGCAAUCUGUUAGUCUCAAUGAUAAAAGGAGAGCAAUAAGUACCUUCUUUAGAAAAAAACUUUGUGAGGAUUCAAUGAACUAGAGCAUGUACAUUAAAAAUGGCAACUGCCACAUGUAGAAUUCAACAAUACCACAUCAUACCCCUUUCCUCCAUUACCUUUCCAAAAUAUCAACAACUUGAGCAUUAGAUAGUUCUAAGUGUUUUUCAUGCAUCAACUCAUUUAAUGUAUGCAAGUACCAUGAGCUAGAGACUACAAUUAGCCCAUCUUAUAGAGGCGAAGGGCAGUAUCCAGGGACACACAUGUUGAGGGAGCUCUGGGACACACAUUGUAACGUCCUGGGUUUUUUGGAUUUCAUUGUUUUAUGAAGCUAACUCUCCUCCUUUUGUCACUAAACCUGUCUUCAGGAAACCUUUCCAAAAUUUAGCUAUUCUACGCAUUUGUAGAUUAGGAAAGCAGCUCAUCAAUCACGUUGCAUGGUCAGUGCUGAAUACAGUAAGGGAUGUGCGAAGUGCAGGCCUAAGAGGUUUAGCAGCUCUUUUUGCUUAUAUUGUACUCAAAGUAUUGUGUCAUCUAUCAUGUACACAUCUCUGCUCUAUUUUUUCCAAUUAUUCCCUCAAGGAAACUCUAUAAAUAGCUGGGACGACAGUUGGUGUUUACUGUUUGUCAGGUACCAGGCCCCCUGCCAAAGCUUAACCCAAGUAUUUACUCCUCAUAGCACGUCUGACUCUUUGUGGCCCCAUGGACUGUAGCCCACCAGGCUCCUCUGUCCAUAGGAUUCUCCAGGAAAGAAUACUGGAGUAGGUUGCCACUUUCUACUCAAGGGCAUCUUCCCAAGCCAAGGAUUGAAUCCCUAUCUCUUGCAUCAGCAGGCGGAUUCUUUACCACUAGCACCGCCUGGGAAGCCCAAGCAGUAUUAUAAAAGACCAGUGAGUGCUAAGGAACCCAAGGCCACCUAGGGAGUGGACAAAGGGCAGGGGUGGCCUUGCUCCAUGUCCACACCGAGGGUGGGGCAGGGUCUGACUCUUCCUGGCACCUAACGCUGAGCAGGGCACCCUCAGGAGGCACUCAAACAGUUAAUGAAUGAAUACAUGCCAUGCUCUUCACAAAAGUAAAAAAGCACUUUCAAGUGAUAUAAAAGGGGACUUUAAUGUGAAAGGGGCACUUAUUGUGCGGAAAGAAAAAAAGCUUUAAGAGCAGAUUCUUUCUUGACAAUUUAUGGUAACUUCUUUAAUCCUAGAAAGUCCACACUGUCACAGUAAUACAAAUUUCCCGUCCCCUUUUCACCAGGCAGACUUGCGGGCUCUACCCAAGUAACACCCAGCCCAGGACAGAAGUGAGGUAUGUCUGAAAAUGAGGUGGAGAGGAGCAUCAGAACAACAGUGAGUCAGCCAUGAAAUGGAUUUAUGAUUCAGUUUAAUCCUCCUUACCUUUGAAUAUUAUGAGCAAUAUAUGCCAUUAUGAUAGCUAUUUAGGGUGAAAUGAUUAAUUAAAACUAUCUGAUAAGACUAAGCAUACUGUCUAACCUGAUUUAAGGCAAAUUCAUCUACUUCAACUAAAAAUACUGAACAGGAAAAUUAAAAAGGUGAACAAGGAAAUAAAAACCCUUUAGGUCUUAUUUCCACUAUAUAUUUCCUAAGUGACCUAAGGAAAGUAUCAUUCAAACAGAGUCACAGUGUAUUUUAAAUUUUUAUUAGUAAGAGUUUGGAGUACAAAUAAAUUUAACUUGACAUUUAGAAAAAAAUGUAUCCAUUAAGGUUUGUUCAUAAAGAAAAACCUGUUCUGUACAUCUCCAAUUUUAAUGCUUAACUCCAUAAUGCUUCUAAGGCUAUAACUUAAUUUUAGAUUUAAUUUUAACAAUUCUGCCUUAUUACAUCUGGUUAAAAAGACUGGAAAACAUCAAGUAGAAAAAAAUGACCUGAAUUUAAAACUUUACUAAAGGACUUUUUAAAGAAAAAGCCUUUAAUAAAAACAGCCUAAAAAUUAGAAUACUUUGGCUUUAAAAUUAGCAGCUAUGAAAAAAUUAACAUUAGAUAAUAUCAAGGACUGCAUUACAAAAAUAUUGUGGUUUACAUAUAUUAGAAUGAUUUACAACAUAGUAAAUGCUUAUUUAUAUCAAUCCAAAAAUCUCUUUAUAAAAAAAUUUGAUAUAGUUUAGCACUUUUGAGAAAUUCAGUUCCUAGUAAGUAACAGGAACACAAGGCCACCUAGGGAGUGGACAAAGGGCAGGGUGGCCUUGCUCCAUGUCCACACCGAGGGUGGGGCAGGGUCUGACUCUUCCUG